GUGUGUUAAUGAUGGUCUGUCUUUAAACUCAAAGAGGAAGCAGACCUGAUGCUUAACACUU
Regulatory RNA element from Gasterosteus aculeatus (three-spined stickleback), 61 nucleotides. It matches the Rfam family "Selenocysteine insertion sequence 1". From Rfam's summary of the family: The incorporation of selenocysteine into a protein sequence is directed by an in-frame UGA codon (usually a stop codon) within the coding region of the mRNA. Selenoprotein mRNAs contain a conserved secondary structure in the 3' UTR that is required for the distinction of UGA stop from UGA selenocysteine. NCBI's taxonomy places the organism in Eukaryota, Metazoa, Chordata, Actinopteri, Perciformes, Gasterosteidae. The record is from Rfam.